GACGAACGCUGGCGGCGUGCUUAACACAUGCAAGUCGAACGGAAAGGCCCUGCUUUUGUUGGUUGCUCGAGUGGCGAACGGGUGAGUAACACGUGAGUAACCUGCCCUUGACUUUGGGAUAUCUUCAGGAAACUGGGGCUCAUACCGCAUAUGAUCUCCUGCUGCAUGUUGUUGGUUGGAAAGUUUCGGCGGUUGGGGAUGGACUCGCGGCUUAUCAGCUUGUUUGUGUGGUAGUUGCUUACCAAGGGUGUGACGGAUAGCCUGCCUGAGAGGGUGACCGGCGACAAUGGGACUGAGAGACGGCGCAGACGGGUACGGGAGGCAGUAGUGGGGAAUAUUGCAGAAUAGGGGGAAGCCUGAGACAGAAACGUCGGGAGCGGGAUAACGGGCUACGGGUGGAAAACAGAUUUCGAAGGUGACGAGGAGGGAGUGACGGUAAUGGGUAAAGAAGCAACGGCUAACUACGUG
Molecule: ribosomal RNA, 468 nt
Filed under: uncultured bacterium
Lineage: Bacteria
Description: partial 16S ribosomal RNA
Rfam family: Bacterial small subunit ribosomal RNA
Source: RNAcentral